UUUGAACGCUGGCGGCGUGCCUAAUACAUGCAAGUCGAGCGGACGGACGAGGAUCUUUCUUCUCUUAUGUGAGGGGCGGACGGGUAAUGCCUAGGUGUCUACCUUGCCGUGGGGGCUGGCGUAAGGUCACGGGCGCUAAUAUAGCAUCGGUUAUGAUUGUGAAAGGGGGGGUUCAAAGGUGAACACGGUACUAGCUGUGACUAGGAGGCAUUAGCUAGCUGGUGAGGUAAAGGCGUACCAAGGCGACGUUCCAUAACCGGUCUGAGAGGGUGAUCGGCCACACUGGAACUGAGACACGGUCCAGACUCCUACGGGAGGCAGCAGUAGGGAAUAUUCCGCAAUGGGCGAAAGCCUGACGCAGCCACGCCGCGUGAGUGAUGAAGGUCUUCGGAUCGUAAAACACUGUUAUUAGGGAAGAACAUAUGUGAAAGUAUAUGUGCCUAUCUUGACGGUACCAACUCAGAAAGCAACGGCUAACUACGUG
RNAcentral lists this ribosomal RNA (484 nucleotides) under uncultured bacterium. RNAcentral describes it as "partial 16S ribosomal RNA". It matches the Rfam family "Bacterial small subunit ribosomal RNA", at positions 30 to 507 of the family's 1533-position model. The record is from RNAcentral.